Molecule: long non-coding RNA, 688 nt
Filed under: Homo sapiens (human)
Lineage: Eukaryota; Metazoa; Chordata; Mammalia; Primates; Hominidae
Description: non-protein coding lnc-GRAP-1:1
Rfam family: Small nucleolar RNA U3 (bases 1-217)
Source: RNAcentral
AAGACUAUACUUUCAGGGAUCAUUUCUAUAGUGUGUUACUAGAGAAGUUUCUCUGAACGUGUAGAGCACCGAAAACCCCGAGGAAGAGAGGUAGCGUUUUCUCCUGAGCGUGAAGCCGGCUUUCUGGCGUUGCUUGGCUGCAACUGCCGUCAGCCAUUGAUGAUCGUUCUUCUCUCCGUAUUGGGGAGUGAGAGGGAGAGAACGCGGUCUGAGUGGUUUUUCCUUCUUGAUGGCUCAAUGACAGAGACUAGCUCGUAAACUCCGGGGCGUUUCUGGGCUGUUCGCUCCUGCUUGGCAGUGUAGCGAGAAAGGUUUUCGCCUCCUGUUUCAGCGGUGACGGCUCUUGGGUUUUCUCGGGGUGGCUUUUUAAUUUUAGUCUUGGCGCGAGGCGGGGGAUGCUGUGUGGCACCUCCUAUUGUCUCUUUUUGCGUUUUCUCCCAUUCUCGCUCCCUCUUUUGUCGCCGUUUCCCGCCCGCCACUCCCACCCCCAGACGGGGUCUCCGGGUCUCUUGUUCUGUCUGCCGCCCCGGCUGGAGUGCAGUGGCGCGAUCUCGGCUCCUAGCAACAUCUGCCUCCCGGGCUCAAGCGAGUCUCCCGCCUAAGCCCUCCCGAGUAGCCGGGGCUUAAAGGCGCACACGCCACUCCAGGCUUUUUUUUUUUUUUUUUUUGGCAGAAACGGGGUGUCAGC